This 495-nucleotide ribosomal RNA is filed under the name uncultured bacterium. Its description in RNAcentral is "partial 16S ribosomal RNA". It matches the Rfam family "Bacterial small subunit ribosomal RNA", at positions 28 to 507 of the family's 1533-position model. The record is from RNAcentral.
GACGAACGCUGGCGGCGUGCCUAAUACAUGCAAGUCGAACGCUGAAGGAGGAGCUUGCUUCUCUGGAUGAGUUGCGAACGGGUGAGUAACGCGUAGGUAACCUGCCUGGUAGCGGGGGAUAACUAUUGGAAACGAUAGCUAAUACCGCAUAAUAGUAGAUGUUGCAUGACAUUUGCUUAAAAGGUGCAAUUGCAUCACUACCAGAUGGACCUGCGUUGUAUUAGCUAGUUGGUGGGGUAACGGCUCACCAAGGCGACGAUACAUAGCCGACCUGAGAGGGUGAUCGGCCACACUGGGACGGAGACACGGCCCAGACUCCUACGGGAGGCAGCAGUAGGGAAUCUUCGGCAAUGGACGGAAGUCUGACCGAGCAACGCCGCGUGAGUGAAGAAGGUUUUCGGAUCGUAAAGCUCUGUUGUAAGAGAAGAACGAGUGUGAGAGUGGAAAGUGCACACUGUGACGGUAUCUGACCAGAAAGGGACGGCUAACUACGUG